GAUUGCAGUCGGCCUUGUGUCUGUAAUGAAUCUUUCAAAUGUCUGCCCCAUCAGUUUGUUGGUAGGUGAUUUCCUCACCGAGAUGGUAACGGGGAAUCAGGGUUCGAUUCCGGUGAUUGUUCAUUGAUUUUUUACGAUCAGGACGUGUUCAGCUCGGUUCACUGGCUGCGCAACCUUUCAUCCGUAUCUGUGUUGAACAGAUGAUGGUAGCUUGACGAGUUUGUCUUACUCACCUAUCUAUAUGAUUCGGAUGCCUUAAAACAGAUGUCGGGAGCGGACGGUAUGUUUACUUUGAGUGCCCAAAGCAGGACUUUGCGCCUAAAAAUUCUUUCAUGGAAUAAUGACAUAGGACUUCAUUUCUAUUUUGUUUGUUUUCAGGUCCGAAGUAACGGUUAGGACGGACAGACAAGGGCAUUUUGUAAGGUGAUGUUAGAGAUGAAAUUCUAGGAUCACUGUCAGACAAACUAUAGCGAAACCAUUUGCCAAGAAUGUUUUCAUUGAACAGAAGCUAAAGUCAGAGUUUUGAAGAUGAUCAGAUAACGUUAGCGUUAAUCUCCAACUAUUCUAAUAUGAAAUAUCAAUACAUUUAUAAAUGUAUUAAUUAUUAAAAAACUACUGAUUGUCAACAAAAUUAGU
RNAcentral lists this non-coding RNA (636 nucleotides) under Schistosoma curassoni. RNAcentral describes it as "Eukaryotic small subunit ribosomal RNA". It matches the Rfam family "Eukaryotic small subunit ribosomal RNA", at positions 260 to 1108 of the family's 1831-position model. The record is from Rfam by way of RNAcentral. Lineage: Eukaryota; Metazoa; Platyhelminthes; Trematoda; Strigeidida; Schistosomatidae.